ACUCCUACGGGAGGCAGCAGUGGGGAAUAUUGCACAAUGGGCGCAAGCCUGAUGCAGCGACGCCGCGUGGGGGAUGACGGCCUUCGGGUUGUAAACCUCUUUCACCAUCGGCGAAGAGGGUGACGGUAGGUGGAGAAGAAGCACCGGCCAACUACGUGCCAGCAGCCGCGGUAAUACGUAGGGUGCGAGCGUUGUCCGGAAUUACUGGGCGUAAAGAGCUCGUAGGUGGUUUGUCGCGUUGUCCGUGAAAUUCCCUGGCUUAACUGGGGGCGUGCGGGCGAUACGGGCAGACUAGAGUACUGCAGGGGAGACUGGAAUUCCUGGUGUAGCGGUGGAAUGCGCAGAUAUCAGGAGGAACACCGGUGGCGAAGGCGGGUCUCUGGGCAGUAACUGACGCUGAGGAGCGAAAGCGUGGGGAGCGAACAGGAUUAGAUACCCUGGUAGUCCACGCCGUAAACGGUGGGUACUAGGUGUGGGUUUCCUUCCUUGGGAUCCGUGCCGUAGCUAACGCAUUAAGUACCCCGCCUGGGGAGUACGGCCGCAAGGCUAAAACUCAAAGAAAUUGACGGGGGCCCGCACAAGCGGCGGAGCAUGUGGAUUAAUUCGAUGCAACGCGAAGAACCUUACCUGGGUUUGACAUGCACAGGACGACGGUAGAGAUAUCGUUUCCCUUGUGGCCUGUGUGCAGGUGGUGCAUGGCUGUCGUCAGCUCGUGUCGUGAGAUGUUGGGUUAAGUCCCGCAACGAGCGCAACCCUUAUUUCAUGUUGCCAGCGCGUAAUGGCGGGGACUCGUGAGAGACUGCCGGGGUCAACUCGGA
Molecule: ribosomal RNA, 818 nt
Filed under: uncultured Actinomycetes bacterium
Lineage: Bacteria; Bacillati; Actinomycetota; Actinomycetes
Description: bacterial SSU rRNA
Rfam family: Bacterial small subunit ribosomal RNA
Source: RNAcentral